This 1503-nucleotide ribosomal RNA is filed under the name metagenome. Its description in RNAcentral is "bacterial LSU rRNA". It matches the Rfam family "Bacterial large subunit ribosomal RNA", at positions 1411 to 2925 of the family's 2925-position model. The record is from RNAcentral.
GUAGGCGAUGGACAAUCGGUUGAUAUUCCGAUACCACUACCAUCGUUAUUAUCGAGGGUGUGACGGAGAAGGAUAGUGUGUGCUAGCGAUUGGAAAUGCUAGUCUAAGCGUUUAGGGAGUUACAGUAGGCAAAUCCGCUGUAACAAUUCUGAGGCGUGAUGGGGAAGGUCAUUAAGACCGAAGUACAUGAUUCCAUGCUUCCAAGAAAAGCAUCUAGAGAGAGAAGUAGUGCCCGCACCGCAAACCGACACAGGUAGAUGAGGAGAGAAUCCUAAGGCCGGCGGAAGAAUUGCAGUUAAGGAACUAGGCAAAUUGACCCCGUAAGUUCGCGAGAAGGGGUGCCUGCGAGAGCAGGCCGCAGAGAAUAGGCCCAAGCAACUGUUUAGCAAAAACACAGGUCUCUGCUAAAGCGUAAGCUGAUGUAUAGGGGCUGACGCCUGCCCGGUGCUGGAAGGUUAAGGGGAACACUUAGCGCAAGCGAAGGUGUGAACUUAAGCCCCAGUAAACGGCGGCCGUAACUAUAACGGUCCUAAGGUAGCGAAAUUCCUUGUCAGGUAAGUUCUGACCCGCACGAAUGGCGUAAUGACUUGGGCACUGUCUCAACUGCAAAUCCGGCGAAGUUGUAGUGCGAGUGAAGAUGCUCGCUACCCGCGAUUGGACGGAAAGACCCCGUAGAGCUUUACUGUAGCUUAGCAUUGAAUUCCGGUAUUGUCUGUACAGGAUAGGUGGGAGACUGGGAAACUAGGGCGUCAGCCUUAGUGGAGUCAACCUUGGGAUACCACCCUGACAGUACUGGGGUUCUAACAGGACGCCAUGAAGCUGGUGACUGGACAUUGUUAGGUGGGCAGUUUGACUGGGGCGGUCGCCUCCUAAAAAGUAACGGAGGCGCCCAAAGGUUCCCUCAGAACGGUCGGAAAUCGUUCGUAGAGUGCAAAGACAGAAGGGAGCCUGACUGCGAGACCCACAAGUCGAGCAGGGACGAAAGUCGGGCUUAGUGAUCCGGUGGUACCUCGUGGGAGGGCCAUCGCUCAACGGAUAAAAGCUACCUCGGGGAUAACAGGCUGAUCUCCCCCAAGAGUCCACAUCGACGGGGAGGUUUGGCACCUGAUGUCGGCUCGUCGCAUCCUGGGGCUGUAGUAGGUCCCAAGGGUUGGGCUGUUCGCCCAUUAAAGCGGCACGCGAGCUGGGUUCAGAACGUCGUGAGACAGUUCGGUCCCUAUCCGUCGCGGGCGUAGGAAAUUUGAGAGGAGCUGUCCUUAGUACGAGAGGACCGGGAUGGACUGACCUCUGGUGCACCAGUUGUUCUGCCAAGAGCAUGGCUGGGUAGCUAAGUCGGGAAGGGAUAAACGCUGAAAGCAUCUAAGCGUGAAGCCCCCCUCAAGAUGAGAUUUCCCAUAGCAUAAGCUAGUAAGACCCCUUGAAGAACACAAGGUUGAUAGGUCAGAGGUGGAAGUGCGGUAACGUAUGUAGCUGACUGAUACUAAUAGGUCGAGGGCUUGACCU